GACCGGACCAUAUUCAAUUCUUUCAUAGUGAUAAAUUAUCAGUUAACAUUGGCAAAAUUGUGAACAUCAGUUGUCAGUACUCACUACUCAGUGCAGGUGCAAACUCAGUGUCAACUGCCAGUGGCAGGUGACUGAGUGGCAGAGCCGUCAGCCGUCAACAGAUAGGUGAAAUUUUCAUAAUCACAAAAUUUUAUUUUCAUGCUAUUUCGUAUUUGUGUAUUUGCUAAUUGUUUUUAAAAAAACUAAAGUAACCUUGAAAUCAUCAAUAUAUUCUGUUUUUCUAUAAAUUAUAUAUCAAGAGAACUUAAUAACUACCUGGUACCGCUAACAUUUAUAACAAGUCUAUAGUUAUAAAAACAUGUCGUUGAGCUAUUUAACUAACUCAACUAAAUGUAUAAGUUCGCUAAAGGAAUUUGUAAAGUGGCAUUUGUUGUUUGUAGUACAAGAAACACGAAUUGUAAAACGAAGCCGAAACAUAGAGGAUGGAAAGUGCAGGAUGGGCAUUUCGUGCACCCUGGGCAUAUACUUGCUACGCAACUGAAUACAAGAUUUCAUCCAGGAUUAAAUGUUGGAUAAGGAAGAAAUGGUACAUUAAUUGCUAUGGAAGCCGGGAAAGUAGUUGUGACAAGUGAGAAGUUUGACCCUAAUUGGGAACACCCAUGGGUGCAGAGGAAUUAUGCAGGAAGGACGAAUCAGACAAUUUAUAUGAAAUAUUUCAAAGUAAUACCAGAAGAUCAACACAACAGGUUUAAAUUAAUUGAUGAAGUAUAAAAGUAUAAUAGUGAAAUUUUAAUGAUAAUUAUUGUAUUUACUAUUUAGUUUUGAAAUAAAGAUUGUUGACAGACA
Leptidea sinapis is the source of this 846-nucleotide long non-coding RNA. RefSeq lists it as uncharacterized. The record is from RefSeq and is a predicted model, not a curated record. The transcript is spliced from 3 exons. Lineage: Eukaryota; Metazoa; Arthropoda; Insecta; Lepidoptera; Pieridae.